Molecule: ribosomal RNA, 500 nt
Filed under: Betta strohi
Lineage: Eukaryota; Metazoa; Chordata; Actinopteri; Anabantiformes; Osphronemidae
Description: partial 12S ribosomal RNA
Rfam family: Bacterial small subunit ribosomal RNA
Source: RNAcentral
UAAACAUCGAUACCUUUUUACACCCACUAUCCGCCCGGGUACUACAAGCACUAGCUUAAAACCCAAAGGACUUGGCGGUGCUUAAGAUCCACCUAGAGGAGCCUGUUCUAGAACCGAUAAUCCACGUUUAACCUCACCCCCUCUUGUUUUUCCCGCCUAUAUACCGCCGUCGUCAGCUUACCCUAUGAAGGCCUAAUAGUGAGCAAAAAUGGCACAGCCCAAAACGUCAGGUCGAGGUGUAGCACAUGAGGGGGGAAGAAAUGGGCUACAUUCCCUAAAAAUAGGAGCAAUACGGACAAUAUAUUGAAAUAUAUAUUUUAAGGAGGAUUUAGCAGUAAGAGGAAAUUAGAGUGUUCCACUGAAUCCGGCCCUAAAGCGCGCACACACCGCCCGUCACUCUCCCCAAGCCUUAAAAAUUUUAUAUUCAUAAUAAACUUCACUAACAAAGGGGAGGCAAGUCGUAACAUGGUAAGUGUACCGGAAGGUGUACUUGGACAAAU